UGGGCAACCUGCCCCUCUCUCUGGGAUAACCCCGGGAAACCGGAGCUAAUACCGGAUACUCCGGCUGGAUCGCAUGGUCCGGCCGGGAAAGGUCCGCCGGAGAGGGAUGGGCCCGCGGCCUAUCAGCUUGUUGGUGGGGUCAUGGCUCACCAAGGCGACGACGGGUAGCCGGCCUGAGAGGGCGACCCGG
Molecule: ribosomal RNA, 190 nt
Filed under: uncultured bacterium
Lineage: Bacteria
Description: partial 16S ribosomal RNA
Rfam family: Bacterial small subunit ribosomal RNA
Source: RNAcentral